GUAAGUGUAUCUUAACGGUAAAGUAAAAACCUUCCAAGUUUUUUAAGAGGGUUCGAUUCCCUCCACUUACA
This is a transfer RNA of Candidatus Nasuia deltocephalinicola str. NAS-ALF, 71 nucleotides long. It matches the Rfam family "tRNA". Rfam says of the family: Transfer RNA (tRNA) molecules are approximately 80 nucleotides in length. Their secondary structure includes four short double-helical elements and three loops (D, anti-codon, and T loops). NCBI's taxonomy places the organism in Bacteria, Pseudomonadati, Pseudomonadota, Betaproteobacteria. The record is from Rfam.